GGGUAUAGCUCAGUAGUAGAGCACAUGCUUAGCAUGGACAAGGUCCUUGGUUCAAUUCCCAGUACUUCCA
Molecule: transfer RNA, 70 nt
Filed under: Camelus ferus (Wild Bactrian camel)
Lineage: Eukaryota; Metazoa; Chordata; Mammalia; Artiodactyla; Camelidae
Rfam family: tRNA
About the family: Transfer RNA (tRNA) molecules are approximately 80 nucleotides in length. Their secondary structure includes four short double-helical elements and three loops (D, anti-codon, and T loops).
Source: Rfam by way of RNAcentral